RNAcentral lists this ribosomal RNA (1243 nucleotides) under metagenome. Its description in RNAcentral is "bacterial LSU rRNA". It matches the Rfam family "Bacterial large subunit ribosomal RNA", at positions 1564 to 2817 of the family's 2925-position model. The record is from RNAcentral.
UGAAUACGAGACGCUAAGGCGUCGAAGUAGUGUAUGUCAUACUUCCAAGAAAAGCUUGCACUGUCAUAGAUAAAAAACGCCUGUACCAUAACCGACACAGGCGGGUAGGUAGAGUAUACUAAGGGGCGCGAGAUAACUCUCUCUAAGGAACUCGGCAAAAUAACUCCGUAACUUCGGGAGAAGGAGUGCCUUAUUCGUAAGGUUGCAAUAACAAGAUCCAAGCAACUGUUUAUCAAAAACACAGGUCUCCGCUAAGUCGUAAGACGAUGUAUGGGGGCUGACGCCUGCCCAGUGCCAGAAGGUUAAAGAAGUUGGUUAGCAAUUGCGAAGCUGAUAACUGAAGCCCUGGUGAACGGCGGCCGUAACUAUAACGGUCCUAAGGUAGCGAAAUUCCUUGUCGGGUAAGUUCCGACCCGCACGAAAGGCGUAAUGAUUUGGAUACUGUCUCGGAGAGGGGCUCGGUGAAAUAGACUUGUCUGUGAAGAUGCGGACUACCUGCACCAGGACAGAAAGACCCUAUGAAGCUUUACUGUAACUUGAAAUUGAAAUUGGACUUUAUUCGCGCAGUAUAGGUGGGAGGCGUUGAUUAUAAUCUUGUGGGAUUAUUGGAGCCAUCAGUGAGAUACCACUCUUGUAAUGUUAGAUUUCUAACUUUGAAUCAUUAUCUGGUCAAAGAACAGUUUCAGGCGGGCAGUUUGACUGGGGCGGUCGCCUCCUAAACGGUAACGGAGGCGUACAAAGGUUUCCUCUGAACGGUUAGAAAUCGUAUCUAGAGUGUAAAGGCAUAAGGAAGCUUGACUGUGAGACCUACAAGUCGAGCAGGGACGAAAGUCGGUCUUAGUGAUCUGACGGUACUGAGUGGAAAGGCCGUCACUCAACGGAUAAAAGUUACUCUAGGAUAACAGGCUGAUCUCCCCCAAGAGUUCACAUCGACGGGGAGGUUUGGCACCUCGAUGUCGGCUCAUCGCAUCCUGGGGCGGUAGUACGUCCCAAGGGUUGGGCUGUUCGCCCAUGAAAGCGGUACGCGAGCUGGGUUCAGAACGUCGUGAGACAGCUCGGUCCAUAUCCGGUGUAGGCGUUAGAAUAUUGAGAGGAGCCUUCUUUAGUACGAGAGGACCGAGAAGGACAUACCUCUGGUGUACCAGUUAUCGUGCCAACGGUAAACGCUGGGUAGCUAUGUAUGGAGUGGAUAACCGCUGAAAGCAUCUAAGUGGGAAGCCCACCUCAAGAUAAGUAUUCUCAU